RNAcentral lists this small RNA (29 nucleotides) under Bombyx mori (domestic silkworm). RNAcentral's name for it is "ovarian small RNA-20143". Lineage: Eukaryota; Metazoa; Arthropoda; Insecta; Lepidoptera; Bombycidae. The record is from RNAcentral.
UACAAUCUGCUUUAAGUUGCCACUUAUAA